AUAUAUAUUUAGAGUCCAUGAAUAUAUAGAGAGAGUUAUGUUAAUAUCCUUACAAAAAAAAUUGAUAAAUAAUUAUAAUAGUAUGUGUUGCCAAUAUUUUAGGAGUUAUUGUUCUUGUUAUUAUAUUAGACAUUCUCUUAAAUUGUAUCAAAUUAGCUUUUGGAUUAAUAAUCUUUCACCUGCUUUUAGGCUGGGAAUAAGCAUAAAUCCCCCAAGAUCCAAGGCUAAUAGUGUAGGUGAAUUAUGUUAUUUAAUCAAAUGAUUUUUUAUAGUUGAAUUAUUGUUAAUGGUCGAGCUAUAGGUCAACAUUUCAAAUAUGUAAAGUAGUUAAAAAAACGAGUUUGAGAGACAAAUAUAUGUUUGUCAAAGAAUUGGGUAAGAGCCUGGGCUAUUAUAGUUUUCUUUUAUGACUUGAUAAAUAUGGCCCCUAAAUAAUUGUUUUUAUGGAGGUGUGUUGAUAUUGCCUUUUUCUCUGAUCCCCUAUGCAUUCUCGCCAUUCUUGUUUUCUGUUCCUCAAGCUUGCCAUUGUUGUUUUAUUCUCUUUAAGUUUGACAUCAUGGCUAUUGUUUUAUAGGUGUGUCUUCUUUGCCUCAUGUUUCUUCUCCUAAGAUAAUGGGUGUUAACCUAUCUUGUUGCGAGACUCCAACCUCGUCUCUAAAGGUGGUGGAGUGAUGAGAUGACACACCUCUGUUUCUCCUAUAUUGGAGUCGUCCUUAUAAGAUUAAUAAGAUUAAGUGUAUAGGGGAAAAUCUUUUAAAUCUUGUAGAGAGGGUCGAUUGCGUAGCUUGUAGCUUGUAGCUUGAGCGAGAGAAAAAAAAAAAUCUCUCAUUUUGAAGGAUAUUAGUGUUAUGUUGGGUGAUUAAGCAAUAUUUGUGGUGGUAGUGCAUGGAUUUUGAAUGUAUCGAGAUCAUAUAAUUAUGUUUUUAGAGAUUUAAGCGAUGGUUGGUUGCACAAACAUUGGAUAAAAUAUGGCUUGAUGUUUUGUAACUUGUUGGAAGGAGUGCAAUAUGUACGUAUUACUUAAUCUUGUAAGUGGUAAGGUGAUAAGUUCUAUGUUUGACUUUGUAGAGUUUGAAUACUAUUACAAAUACUACUAUAAGGAUAUUUUACAUGAAAUCUAAUGUGAAAGGCAUAUAUUCCGAUAAUUGAUU
This 1151-nucleotide long non-coding RNA is filed under the name Vigna radiata. RNAcentral's name for it is "long non-coding RNA (VRAD_LNC009751)". Lineage: Eukaryota; Viridiplantae; Streptophyta; Magnoliopsida; Fabales; Fabaceae. The record is from RNAcentral.